This 315-nucleotide ribosomal RNA is filed under the name uncultured eukaryote. RNAcentral describes it as "partial 18S ribosomal RNA". It matches the Rfam family "Eukaryotic small subunit ribosomal RNA", at positions 1470 to 1796 of the family's 1831-position model. The record is from RNAcentral.
CCCUUAGACGUUCUGGGCCGCACGCGCGCUACACUGACCAGUGCAACAAGCAUCCGUCCUUGGCCGACAGGCCCGGGCAAUCUUUGAACGCUGGUCGUGAUGGGGAUAUACUUUUGCAAUUUUUGGUCUUCAACGAGGAAUUCCUAGUAAACGCAAGUCAUCAACUUGCAUUGAUUACGUCCCUGCCCUUUGUACACACCGCCCGUCGCACCUACCGAUUGAAUGGUCCGGUGAAGCCUCCGGAUUGGCGCGCACCUCGGUGCCGCCGAGAAGUUGGCUAAACCUUACCAUUUAGAGGAAGGUGAAGUCGUAACA